AGAAAGAAAAAAAAAAAAAAAAAAAGAAAAAGGAAAAGAAAAGAAGAAAUUGAAAGAAACAGAAAAACAUUUUCUUCUCCUUCGACCCAUUUCAGUUUUCUUUUCUCAAACAACCCACCCAUGAAUUUCUAACUCUAAAAUGGAUUAUUCUUGCUCAAUCAAACUCAUAUUCAUAAAAAUUCAUUUCUCAACCAAAUCACCCAAUAACCCAUUUUUGGUAAUUCAAUUCCAUCAAUUCAUUUGGGCAGAAAUUGAAACUCAACCAUGGCUAUAAAUAGCCAUGUUCAUCUCCUCAAACCAUUCACUCAAACCAUUUGAGUUUUCGUCGGAAAACCGCCACCCAAACCACCCUCAAAUUCCUCUGUUUUCACAACUUUCUCUCUCCUCUGUUUUCGUUCAACCACCGCAGCACCACCACCCACCGCCACCGUCGCCAUAACCGCUACCCCCUGAUUCUGCGCGAAACAACAACCACCGCACCGUCAACCAGAACCUCUCCCUCCUCUCUCCCAGUUUCCCCCUCUCUGUCGUGUCUCCCUCCUCGUCGCAUCGUUGACCCGCGCGCACCGCCCAGCACCACCGAGCCCGCGCCGUCCCGCCGUACCACCCCCUUAUUUUCUGCCCCGCCUCGCCGGAGCUUCGUUCGUUCUCCCUUGCUCUCUGGUUCACGAUAUUCGGUUGAAGCAGAGAUUAAAACGGAAGAAAUAUUACAAGCAUUCCCUACGAUCAAGGUUGUUAAGCAGGAUUCCAGGUAUGCAUAUGAAGAUGGGAUGACGUAGCAGUGAGGAUUAAAUUACGUUAAUUCACGCGACUAUGACGGUUAUGUAAUCCAAGUUUAUGAUCACUAGAUUUCGUAACAUUAGUUAUGCUUAAGCUAUCUAUAUAUAUUUCUAG
Beta vulgaris subsp. vulgaris (sugar beet) is the source of this 894-nucleotide long non-coding RNA. RefSeq lists it as uncharacterized. The transcript has 3 exons. The record is from RefSeq and is a predicted model, not a curated record. NCBI's taxonomy places the organism in Eukaryota, Viridiplantae, Streptophyta, Magnoliopsida, Caryophyllales, Amaranthaceae.